AGAGUUUGAUCCUGGCUCAGGACGAACGCUGGCGGCGUGCCUAACACAUGCAAGUCGAGCGAAGCUUAAGCCUUCAGCUUGCUGUUGGCUUAAGACUUAGCGGCGAACGGGUGAGUAACGCGUGGGUGACCUACCCAGGAGACCGGGAUAACAGCUCGAAAGGGCUGCUAAUACCGGAUGACAUCCUACUCUUUUGGGGGUAGGAUCAAAGCGUUAAGUAGCGCUUCUGGAUGGGCCCGCGUCCCAUUAGCUAGUUGGUGAGGUAACGGCUCACCAAGGCGACGAUGGGUAGCCGGUCUGAGAGGAUGGUCGGCCACACUGGGACUGAGAUACGGCCCAGACUCCUACGGGAGGCAGCAGUGGGGAAUUUUGCGCAAUGGGGGCAACCCUGACGCAGCGACGCCGCAUGGGUGAAGAAGGCCUUCGGGUUGUAAAGCCCUGUCUAGGGGGAAGAUAGUGACGGUACCCCUGGAGGAAGCCCCGGCUAACUACGUGCCAGCAGCCGCGGUAAUACGUAGGGGGCGAGCGUUGUCCGGAAUUACUGGGCGUAAAGGGCGUGUAGGCGGCCAAGCAAGUCAGCUGUGAAACACCCCGGCUCAACCGUGGUUCUGCAGUUGAAACUGCGUGGCUUGAGUGCAGGAGAGGAGGGUGGAAUUCCUGGUGUA
RNAcentral lists this ribosomal RNA (665 nucleotides) under uncultured bacterium. RNAcentral describes it as "bacterial SSU rRNA". It matches the Rfam family "Bacterial small subunit ribosomal RNA", at positions 8 to 677 of the family's 1533-position model. The record is from RNAcentral.